RNAcentral lists this ribosomal RNA (497 nucleotides) under uncultured bacterium. RNAcentral's name for it is "partial 16S ribosomal RNA". It matches the Rfam family "Bacterial small subunit ribosomal RNA", at positions 28 to 507 of the family's 1533-position model. The record is from RNAcentral.
GAUGAACGCUGGCGGCGUGCCUAGUACAUGCAAGUCGAGCGAACGGACGAGAAGCUUGCUUUUCUGAUGUUAGCGGCGGACGGGUGAGUAACACGUGGAUAACCUACCUAUAAGACUGGGAUAACUUCGGGAAACCGGAGCUAAUACCGGAUAAUAUUUUGAACCGCAUGGUUCAAAAGUGAAAGACGGUCUUGCUGUCACUUAUAGAUGGAUCCGCGCUGCAUUAGCUAGUUGGUAAGGUAACGGCUUACCAAGGCAACGAUGCAUAGCCGACCUGAGAGGGUGAUCGGCCACACUGGAACUGAGACACGGUCCAGACUCCUACGGGAGGCAGCAGUAGGGAAUCUUCCGCAAUGGGCGAAAGCCUGACGGAGCAACGCCGCGUGAGUGAUGUAGGUCUUCGGAUCGUAAAACUCUGUUAUUAGGGAAGAACAUAUGUGUAAGUAACUGCGCACAUCUUGACGGUACCUAAUCAGAAAGCCACGGCUAACUACGUG